GGAGAGAUGGCCGAGUGGUCGAAGGCACUCCCUUGCUAAGGGAGCAGUGGGAUAAAACCCACUCAAGAGUUCGAAUCUCUUUCUCUCCGCCA
Molecule: transfer RNA, 92 nt
Filed under: Oligoflexia bacterium
Lineage: Bacteria; Pseudomonadati; Bdellovibrionota; Oligoflexia
Description: tRNA-Ser
Rfam family: tRNA
About the family: Transfer RNA (tRNA) molecules are approximately 80 nucleotides in length.
Source: RNAcentral